CUCCGGUUGAUCCCGCCGGACCCGACUGCUAUCAGAGUGGGACUAAGCCAUGCGAGUCAACAUAGCAAUAUGUGGCAUACGGCUCAGUAACACGUAGUCAACAUGCCCAGGGGACGUGGAUAACCUCGGGAAACUGAGGAUAAACCGCGAUAAGUCACUACUUCUGGAAUGGGUAAUGACUCAAAUCUACAUGGCCCCUGGAUUGGACUGCGGCCAAUCAGGCUGUUGGUGAGGUAAUGGCCCACCAAACCUGUAACCGGUACGGGCUCUGAGAGGAGGAGCCCGGAGAUGGGCACUGAGACAAGGGCCCAGGCCCUAUGGGGCGCAGCAGGCGCGAAACCUCUGCAAUAGGCGAAAGCCUGACAGGGUUACCCUGAGUGAUUUCCGUUAAGGAGAUCUUUUGGCACCUCUAAAAAUGGUGCAGAAUAAGGGGUGGGCAAGUCUGGUGUCAGCCGCCGCGGUAAUACCAGCACCCCGAGUGGUCGGGACGUUUAUUGGGCCUAAAGCAUCCGUAGCCGGUUCCACAAGUCUUCCGUUAAAUCCACCUGCUUAACAGAUGGGCUGCGGAAGAUACUAUAGAGCUAGGAGGCGGGAGAGGCAAGCGGUACUCGAUGGGUAGGGGUAAAAUCCGUUGAUCCAUUGAAGACCACCAGUGGCGAAGGCGGCUUGCCAGAACGCGCUCGACGGUGAGGGAUGAAAGCUGGGGGAGCAAACCGGAUUAGAUACCCGGGUAGUCCCAGCUGUAAACGAUGCAGACUCGGUGAUGAGUUGGCUUCUUGCCAACUCAGUGCCGCAGGGAAGCCGUUAAGUCUGCCGCCUGGGGAGUACGGUCGCAAGACUGAAACUUAAAGGAAUUGGCGGGGGAGCA
This 868-nucleotide ribosomal RNA is filed under the name uncultured archaeon. RNAcentral describes it as "bacterial SSU rRNA". It matches the Rfam family "Archaeal small subunit ribosomal RNA", at positions 1 to 878 of the family's 1478-position model. The record is from RNAcentral.